AUGAGAACCAAAAAAGGUUAACAACCGUAAGAACCAAUUUAUUAUAGCUUAUUUUUGUGUAUUUAACGGUAACACUAAAAAAACACACAUACAAACAUUUAUUUUAAAAAUCAGAUCUAUCUUUUAAAUUUGCUGAUCUUCUCAUACUUUCUCACCAUCUUUGAAGAACACAUAGUCCUUAUAACCAUCAACACCUACCGUCGCCCGCAUCAACGUCGUCGACACUACCGUCGUUGGUAACAACAUCGCUUCUGAAAGAACGCCUUCACCUCUUUCCACCGUUGUUCUACUACAACCUACACUAUUCUUGACGUUUAGAUCUGCGAUUUCCGAUAGUCUUCAAAUCUUCAAUUUCCCAGCAGCCUUCAGAUCUGCGAAUUUCCUAUUAUUGUUGUAGUAGAUCUUCCAGAUCUGUGAUUUUCCGACCAUCACGACCUUCUCCGGCACCUUUCGCUUCUUCUUUACGAUGACUACGACCACCAACAGCUCCUCGUAUCAGAUAUCGCCACCGCCGUCAUCGUCGAUCCACCAUGGUUUCGAUAUGAUCUCUUCCUCUUCCUAUCUUCUUCUGACGAGAUCUGCUACCAUUCUCUUGUUUGUUAGCUAUUAUAGACUGUUUCACCACCAUUUCCAAUAGAUCUCUUCCCCUUUCUCUCCUCCGGCGAGUUCUUAUGUCGUCGUCUCCUUCAUCAGCAGUAACAGAUCGAGAUUUCUAAAUGUAAUAUGAUAAUGUUCUCGUUUUAACUAUCAACAGUCACAAUAGAGUACAAAUCAUAAUGGAGUAUGCGAUGCUCUUCUGUUAACGUCUUCCGACAAGGUGUUCCGGAGACGGUUUAGGCUUCCCGGCGACUUCAACACGAUCAGGUGUACUGUUUGGUCAUGAGUUCCAACAUAUCUAUUCCGACGAGUAUUUUAUGUGAUUUUCAAGGAUUACAGUUGAAAAUAUAACUUUAGAUUUGCAAGAAAUGAGAGGCCGAAGUCAUUGUUCUCCGACGAUGUUAUGGAGACUCAAACAGUUUAAGGUGGUUCGUCGCAGCAUGUAGUGGUAGAGUUUGAGUUUUUGACUUCUUUGAAUUAGUGAAUUAAUUGUUUCUAUUAAGUUGUGAAUUUUUUGCAUUGAACUAUAAAUGGACUGUGUAAAUCUGUAUUUUAUAUAAAUUUUUGUGUUAAAAUAUGAGAGCAUAUACGGAUGAAAAUA
Long non-coding RNA from Lactuca sativa (garden lettuce), 1198 nucleotides. RefSeq lists it as uncharacterized. NCBI's taxonomy places the organism in Eukaryota, Viridiplantae, Streptophyta, Magnoliopsida, Asterales, Asteraceae. The record is from RefSeq and is a predicted model, not a curated record.